Molecule: non-coding RNA, 102 nt
Organism: Caenorhabditis elegans
Lineage: Eukaryota; Metazoa; Nematoda; Chromadorea; Rhabditida; Rhabditidae
Source: Ensembl
AACAAAAAACUUUAGCACGAGUGGGGUUCGAACCCACGAGGUGUUAUCCACCAUUGGAACUUAAGUCCAACGCCUUAACCACUCGGCCAUCGUGCUGUCCGC